ACCCGUCUAGCUCAGUCGGUAGAGCGCUGGCCUUUUUAAGCCAGUGGUCGUGGGUUCGAUCCCCACGGGGGGUG
RNAcentral lists this transfer RNA (74 nucleotides) under Phytophthora infestans (potato late blight agent). Its description in RNAcentral is "tRNA-Lys". It matches the Rfam family "tRNA". Rfam says of the family: Transfer RNA (tRNA) molecules are approximately 80 nucleotides in length. Their secondary structure includes four short double-helical elements and three loops (D, anti-codon, and T loops). Further hydrogen bonds mediate the characteristic L-shaped molecular structure. tRNAs have two regions of fundamental functional importance: the anti-codon, which is responsible for specific mRNA codon recognition, and the 3' end, to which the tRNAs corresponding amino acid is attached (by aminoacyl-tRNA synthetases). tRNAs cope with the degeneracy of the genetic code in two manners: having more than one tRNA (with a specific anti-codon) for a particular amino acid; and 'wobble' base-pairing, i.e. permitting non-standard base-pairing at the 3rd anti-codon position. The record is from RNAcentral. Lineage: Eukaryota; Oomycota; Peronosporomycetes; Peronosporales; Peronosporaceae.